RNAcentral lists this non-coding RNA (35 nucleotides) under Trypanosoma brucei brucei. The record is from RNAcentral. Lineage: Eukaryota; Euglenozoa; Kinetoplastea; Trypanosomatida; Trypanosomatidae.
AUAAAUAGGGGACAGUCCCCAUAAACUGUAUAGAU